This 497-nucleotide ribosomal RNA is filed under the name uncultured bacterium. RNAcentral describes it as "partial 16S ribosomal RNA". It matches the Rfam family "Bacterial small subunit ribosomal RNA", at positions 28 to 507 of the family's 1533-position model. The record is from RNAcentral.
GAUGAACGCUGGCGGCGUGCCUAAUUCAUGCAAGUCGAGCGAACGGACGAGAAGCUUGCUUCUCUGAUGUUAGCGGCGGACGGGUGAGUAACACGUGGAUAACCUACCUAUAAGACUGGGAUAACUUCGGGAAACCGGAGCUAAUACCGGAUAAUAUUUUGAACCGCAUGGUUCAAAAGUGAAAGACGGUCUUGCUGUCACUUAUAGAUGGAUCCGCGCUGCAUUAGCUAGUUGGUAAGGUAACGGCUUACCAAGGCAACGAUGCAUAGCCGACCUGAGAGGGUGAUCGGCCACACUGGAACUGAGACACGGUCCAGACUCCUACGGGAGGCAGCAGUAGGGAAUCUUCCGCAAUGGGCGAAAGCCUGACGGAGCAACGCCGCGUGAGUGAUGAAGGUCUUCGGAUCGUAAAACUCUGUUAUUAGGGAAGAACAUAUGUGUAAGUAACUGCGCACAUCUUGACGGUACCUAAUCAGAAAGCCACGGCUAACUACGUG